GAACGCUAGCGGCAGGCUUAAUACAUGCAAGUCGUGGGGCAGCAUGAGUAGCAAUACUUGAUGGCGACCGGCAACGGGUGAGGAACACGUACACUAACCUUCCUUCAAGCGGGGAAUAGCCAGAGAAAUUUGGAUUAAUACCCCAUAAUAUAUUUGAUAAGGCAUCUUAUUAAUAUUAAAGCUUCGGCACUUGAUGAUGGGUGUGCGGCUGAUUAGAUAGUUGGCGGGUAACGGCCCACCAAGUCUACGAUCAGUAGCUGAUGUGAGAGCAUGAUCAGCCACACGGGCACUGAGACACGGGCCCGACUCCUACGGGAGGCAGCAGUAAGGAAUAUUGGACAAUGGACGAAAGUCUGAUCCAGCCAUGCCGCGUGAAGGAUUAAGGUCCUCUGGAUUGUAAACUUCUUUUAUAUGGGACGAAAAAAGGGCAUUCUUGUUCACUUGACGGUACCAUAUGAAUAAGCACCGGCUAACUCCGUG
This 480-nucleotide ribosomal RNA is filed under the name uncultured bacterium. RNAcentral's name for it is "bacterial SSU rRNA". It matches the Rfam family "Bacterial small subunit ribosomal RNA", at positions 31 to 507 of the family's 1533-position model. The record is from RNAcentral.